GUAUAAGAUUGCUCCAGUUUUGCUACAAGCAAUAGCAGAAAGGUGCCAGAAGUAUGAUACACAUGUUUCUAUUGAGUAUCUACCAUGCUUUGAACUUGAAGGCAAACAUCAACAUGGCAAAAGCUCCAAAAGGAAUUUUAAAAAUUCAAAAAAUAUAUAAAAGGAAAUGGCUAUGCACCUUUGCACAGGUAUAACAGUAUUA
RNAcentral lists this unclassified non-coding RNA (202 nucleotides) under Hevea brasiliensis (rubber tree). The record is from RNAcentral. Lineage: Eukaryota; Viridiplantae; Streptophyta; Magnoliopsida; Malpighiales; Euphorbiaceae.